RNAcentral lists this ribosomal RNA (253 nucleotides) under uncultured bacterium. RNAcentral describes it as "partial 16S ribosomal RNA". It matches the Rfam family "Bacterial small subunit ribosomal RNA", at positions 524 to 776 of the family's 1533-position model. The record is from RNAcentral.
UACAGAGGGUGCGAGCGUUAAUCGGAAUUACUGGGCGUAAAGCGCGCGUAGGCGGCUUUGCAAGUCGGGUGUGAAAUCCCCAGGCUUAACCUGGGAACUGCAUUCGAGACUGCAUUGCUAGAGUAUGGGAGAGGGAAGUGGAAUUUCCGGUGUAGCGGUGAAAUGCGUAGAUAUUGGAAGGAACAUCAGUGGCGAAAGCGACUUCCUGGACCAAUACUGACGCUCAUGUGCGAAAGCGUGGGGAGCAAACAGG